UGCUCAAGAGCUAGCCUAAAUAAAACUUCAACCUAAAAAAUUUCAUUCAAAGUAAAAAAAUCAAAAACCCAACAACAAAACAUUUUACCACCUUAGUACGGGCGACGGAAAAGGAAGAAUAGAGCAAAAGAAAAAGUACCGCAAGGGAAAGCUGAAAAAGAAAUGAAAUAACCCAUUUAAGCAAAGAAAAGCAAAGAUUAAAACUUGUACCUUUUGCAUCAUGAUCAAGCUAGAAAAACCAAUGCAAAGAGCCCUUAAGUGAUUUUCCCCGAAACUAAACGAGCUACCCUGGGGCCGCCCAUGCUGGGGCUAACCCGUCUCUGUGGCAAAAGAGUGGGGAGACCCCUGGGUAGAGGUGACAAGCCUACCGAGUUUAGUGAUAGCUGGUUUUCUAGGAAAAGAAUAGAAGUUCAGCCCUUAUUUAUCUUAAGUUAAACAUUAAUUAAAUUAACAAUGAAGGUAAAAAAGGAGUAAAUUGAAGGAGGUACAGCUCCUUCAAGUAAAAUACAACUCUCUCAGUAGACUAAGAAUUAAACAAAAAAAGGAAUGUCUUUUAGGUGGGCCUAAAAGCAGCCACCCCAAAAGAAAGCGUUAAAGCUCAAAUUAAGACCCUCCUCCCCUUUAUUUUAAUAACUUCCUCCGAUCUCACUUUUCUUACUAGAACAUUUUAUGCACCCAUAAAAGAGACUAUGCCUGAACGAGUAAUAAGAGAACACGAAUCUCUCCAAAGCACAAGUGUAAACCAGAACGAACAAAUCGCUGGAUAUUAACGGCCCCUAAGAAAAAGGGUAAUGUAACCUUAAUAAGUACCCAGAAGAAAUCUCAUAUACAACCGUUAACCCCACACAGGAGUGCAGAAAAGGAAAGACUAAAAGACAAGGGAAGGAACUCGGCAAACCCAAGCCCCGCCUGUUUACCAAAAACAUCGCCUCUUGAAUAAAAAUAUAAGAGGUCCUGCCUGCCCUGUGACUCUAAGUUUAACGGCCGCGGUAUCUUGACCGUGCGAAGGUAGCGCAAUCACUUGUCCUUUAAAUGGGGACCUGUAUGAACGGCAACACGAGGGCUUAGCUGUCUCCCCGCUCCAGUCAAUGAAACUGAUCUCCCCGUGCAGAAGCGGGGAUAACUCUACUAGACGAGAAGACCCUAUGGAGCUUUAGAAAAAAAACGACCAUUUAAGACUAAAUGAAAAAAAACACUAAAGUCAUUACACCCCCGUUUUUAUCUUUGGUUGGGGCGACCGUGGAGAAAUAAAAAACCCCCAUGAAGAAUAAGACAACUUCGUCUUUAAGCCAAGAGCCACAGCUCUAAGCAUCAAAAAAAUUUGACUAAAAGAUCCGGCUAAAAAUGCCGAUCAACGGACCGAGUUACCCUAGGGAUAACAGCGCAAUCUUCUCCCAGAGCCCCUAUCGACGAGAAGGUUUACGACCUCGAUGUUGGAUCAGGACAUCCUAAUGGUGCAGCCGCUAUUAAGGGUUCGUUUGUUCAACGAUUAACAGUCCUACGUGAUCUGAGUUCAGACCGGAGUAAUCCAGGUCAGUUUCUAUCUGUAAACUUGCUGCCCCCAGUACGAAAGGACCGGGACAGCGGGGUCCAUGCUAAAAGUAAACCCCCCCACCUUCUAUGGAAACCAAAUAAAAUAGGUAACGGGAGAGAACUCCCUAGCCAAAGAAAAUGGCUU
Molecule: ribosomal RNA, 1678 nt
Filed under: Synodus macrops (triplecross lizardfish)
Lineage: Eukaryota; Metazoa; Chordata; Actinopteri; Aulopiformes; Synodontidae
Description: 16S ribosomal RNA
Rfam family: Bacterial large subunit ribosomal RNA (bases 96-1598)
Source: RNAcentral